Molecule: ribosomal RNA, 117 nt
Filed under: uncultured Cortinarius
Lineage: Eukaryota; Fungi; Basidiomycota; Agaricomycetes; Agaricales; Cortinariaceae
Description: partial 28S ribosomal RNA
Rfam family: Eukaryotic large subunit ribosomal RNA
Source: RNAcentral
GUGACCUCAAAUCAGGUAGGACUACCCGCUGAACUUAAGCAUAUCAAUAAGCGGAGGAAAAGAAACUAACAAGGAUUCCCCUAGUAACUGCGAGUGAAGCGGGAAAAGCUCAAAUUA